RNAcentral lists this long non-coding RNA (1154 nucleotides) under Coturnix japonica (Japanese quail). RNAcentral's name for it is "lncRNA (ENSCJPG00005015467.1)". Lineage: Eukaryota; Metazoa; Chordata; Aves; Galliformes; Phasianidae. The record is from RNAcentral.
AUGGGAGCUAAGUCCAAGCCACAAGCGUGGCAGGGUGUUCUCAUGCUCAUUGCAGGGUGUUCUCAUGCUCAUUGCAGGGUGUUCUCAUGCACAUUGCAGGGUGUUCUCAUGCACAUUGCAGGGUGUUCUCAUGCACAUUGCAGAUGGCAGCAGUGCUUCCUUCGGCCCCGGCAGUGCUUGCAGCACGUUGCAGAGCUGCACCACGCUCCUGCCAGCAAACAGCAGGAGACAGAAGGGGCUAUUUUAGGGCAGGUUGAGAUGAGCAAAGCUCCACCUGUUGUUGUGGCUUUCAUUUCUGUAAUGCUCCGCACUCAGCCCCGUGUGGCAGCGCAGCAGGUUGGAUGCUCAGCACUGCAGCUUCUGUUUCCCCCCACACAGUGCAAUGCAGGCAGCCCGAUGGCUUCUAUGCUGCUUUCUCAACCAGCCACGUCCCGCUCUUGCAUCUUUCUGUGCCUAUAUUCCAAUGUAUCGAUAUCCCAACAGAUAAACUCCCAUCCCUCCUUGUUUUCCUCACGUUUCCUUAUGGUACACAUGAAAUAAGAGGAUAUUCGUUCCCAUUUGUGCUGUUUUUGCCCUGGGUGCUGCUGUUCCUGUUUGUUGGGGUGGCUGUUUCUCCUCUCUCUCAUGUCACACUCUGUGGAGCUCGUUCCCGCUUCAUUACGCUCCACUUUUAACAGGUAAGAAGCGAUACUCGCGCUCUGCCGCGGUGCACGCCGGGACUUGUAGUCAUCGCCCGGCCGCCCCGUUCCACGUGACCGCGGCUCAGCCAAUCACAGCGUCCAGGCAUCGCCGUGGCAACCUGAGGUAAACAAGAUGGCGGUGGUGGCGCUGAGAGGGGGGUGAGGCGGCCUGAGGGCUCCACACAGAGCAAAGCCGACAGGCCGCGGGUCUGGCCUUUAUUUCAAGUCCCGUUGUGGUGGGGGGCCCUCAGGAUGCUCUCUGGCCUUCGGGAGCGUUCGUGGCCAGGUGGAUGCGUUAGGCCAUUUCUUCACCGUGCCUUGCCCGAAGGCACACGGUGUAGGGGUGAGAAAGAGCUGCAGAGUUGGAGCCCUUCUGGAAAGGCUUUUCCUUUAUAUCUUAGGAAACUCGCCCAUCCAGCAGCCCCUCCCUGCCCCAAGCUAACAAACUAAUCUUCGUUUUUUAUAUAUCCCCUC